This 30-nucleotide non-coding RNA is filed under the name unclassified sequences. Its description in RNAcentral is "L31-Firmicutes ribosomal protein leader". It matches the Rfam family "L31-Firmicutes ribosomal protein leader". The record is from RNAcentral.
CUAUGAUUUAUAAAAUCAUGGCGGAAGGAG